This is a non-coding RNA of Cordylochernes scorpioides, 72 nucleotides long. The record is from the annotation of a GenBank genome assembly. Lineage: Eukaryota; Metazoa; Arthropoda; Arachnida; Pseudoscorpiones; Chernetidae.
GCCCGGCUAGCUCAUUCGGUAGAACAUGAGACUAUUAAUCUUAGGGUCGUGAGUUCGGGCCCACGUUAGGGG